RNAcentral lists this ribosomal RNA (349 nucleotides) under uncultured bacterium. RNAcentral describes it as "bacterial SSU rRNA". It matches the Rfam family "Bacterial small subunit ribosomal RNA", at positions 917 to 1269 of the family's 1533-position model. The record is from RNAcentral.
GGGCCCGCACAAGCGGUGGAGCAUGUGGUUUAAUUCGAUGAUACGCGAGGAACCUUACCAGGGCUUAAAUGGGAAAUGACAGGGGCAGAGACGCCCCCUUCUUCGGACAUUUUUCAAGGUGCUGCAUGGUUGUCGUCAGCUCGUGCCGUGAGGUGUCAGGUUAAGUCCUAUAACGAGCGCAACCCCUAUCGUUAGUUGCCAGCGAGUAAUGUCGGGAACUCUAGCGAAACUGCCGGUGCAAACCGUGAGGAAGGUGGGGAUGACGUCAAAUCAUCACGGCCCUUACGUUCUGGCUACACACGUGCUACAAUGGCCGGUACAGAAAGCAGCCACUAUGCGAAUAGGAGCU